CCUACGGGUGGCAGCAGUGAGGAAUAUUGGUCAAUGGCCGCAGGGCUGAACCAGCCAAGUCGCGUGAGGGAUGACGGUCCUCUGGAUUUUAAACCUCUUUUUUCAGGAAGCAAAGGGCGCCACGUGUGGCGCUUUGCGAUUACCUUACGAAAAAGCAUCGGCUAACUCCGUGCCAGCCGCCGCGGUAAUACGGAGGAUGCGAGCGUUAUCCGGAUUUAUUGGCGUUAAAGGGUGCGCAGGCGGAAUGUCAAGUUCACGGGAAAAUUUCGGGGGUCAACCCCGUCGUGCCAUUGAAACUGGCGGUCGUGAGUGAGCGAGAAGUAGGCGGAAUGCGUGGUGUAGCGGUGAAAUGCAUAGAUAUCACGAAGAACACCGAUUGCGAAGGCAGCAUACCGGAGCUCAACUGACGCUCAUGCACGAAAGCGUGGGUAUCGAACAGGAUUAGAUACCCGUGUAGUC
This 459-nucleotide ribosomal RNA is filed under the name uncultured bacterium. RNAcentral describes it as "partial 16S ribosomal RNA". It matches the Rfam family "Bacterial small subunit ribosomal RNA", at positions 338 to 795 of the family's 1533-position model. The record is from RNAcentral.